AUGAGAAAUGCUUACACUAUAGGCAUGAGAAGCACACAAUUAAGUGAGAGCUUGAAUAGUGACUUGAAAGACCAUUUGAAGUCUGAUCUUGACAUUCUUCGUUUUUUCAAGCACGUAGAGAGGGUUAGAGGUUUACUUGACUCCCAACGAUGGACUCGAGAAGCACGAAGCGGCACUAUUCAAAACAGCCAUGGCAACAUUGUUUUGGAAGACCCUAGAUCGGAAGAUAGGCAGCAGCUGAAGUUUUUCAUGCACGAGUUCCUUGGCAUAGCUUCCCAAGCAGUUGCCUCCUACUACUACAUGCAGAACUGA
RNAcentral lists this ribosomal RNA (312 nucleotides) under Triticum aestivum (bread wheat). RNAcentral describes it as "partial small subunit ribosomal RNA". Lineage: Eukaryota; Viridiplantae; Streptophyta; Magnoliopsida; Poales; Poaceae. The record is from RNAcentral.